GGCAACGUGGCCGAGUGGUUAUGGCGCAAGUUUCAGGACAUCUGAACUUAGCUUUGGUUAAAAAUCCGUCUACUUGUGGGUAAAACCGCGUGGGUUCGAGUCCCACCGUUGUCA
RNAcentral lists this transfer RNA (114 nucleotides) under Capronia coronata CBS 617.96. It matches the Rfam family "tRNA". Rfam says of the family: Transfer RNA (tRNA) molecules are approximately 80 nucleotides in length. Their secondary structure includes four short double-helical elements and three loops (D, anti-codon, and T loops). Lineage: Eukaryota; Fungi; Ascomycota; Eurotiomycetes; Chaetothyriales; Herpotrichiellaceae. The record is from Rfam by way of RNAcentral.